GAAUACUCAAUAAAUAUUCUUUGGUUUUCACUUUGUUUUUCUUUCUUUUGUGGCUCUUCUUUUUGUUCGGUUGCCUUUAAAAUCUUUAAAAGAGUUAAGAUAGCCAUUUCUAAUUGUGGGAUAUCAAAAACUAGUUGUUAGAAACUAUGUCUAUAAUUUUGGAUUUUCUAUAAACUAGCCAUUAGUGCUAUCAGCCGUGGCCGAGUCAACUCAAGAUCAAGUAGGGUUUGACUC
This 234-nucleotide long non-coding RNA is filed under the name Elaeis guineensis (African oil palm). RNAcentral describes it as "long non-coding RNA (EGUI_LNC033762)". Lineage: Eukaryota; Viridiplantae; Streptophyta; Magnoliopsida; Arecales; Arecaceae. The record is from RNAcentral.